CAACCACUUCAAGCCCAAACUGGAGUCCUCCACCUUCCUCGGCGUCUGUCCCAUCAGCCUCCACACCAAUAACAAGCUCCAGUGCAGGAAGUUUCACACCUUCACCAGUUUUCCCUGCAACCACCAACCAGCUCACAAUGUACAUCUUUCCUCUGGUUGUGUGUGUGCUCAUGGUGGCAAUGCUGUUGGCUCUUGUAAUGCUGCUCCUCUACAAACAGAAGACAAUGACUUCAAACGGCACGAACGUGGAGUGUGUUACCUAUGAGAACCAUCCGCCAGCCUCUACAUGUCAAGACUCCGUCUACCAGAGCCUGGAUCCAGCCAGCAGGGAUCAUGACCAAAUCUACGCUAUACAACACGAGACUGUCUGAAUUCAGACCAGAGGGGUCUACUACGAACCAAAAUAAGCAUGCUAGGGAGGUAUGUUGAGC
This is a long non-coding RNA of Epinephelus moara (kelp grouper), 431 nucleotides long. RefSeq lists it as uncharacterized. The record is from RefSeq and is a predicted model, not a curated record. The transcript is spliced from 3 exons. Lineage: Eukaryota; Metazoa; Chordata; Actinopteri; Perciformes; Serranidae.